UUGCAUAACACUAAAAUAAAAUCAAUCAUCAUACUUUUAGAUCAUACCUAAAAUUUUUAUGAUUUAAAAUUUUAUUUUAUCAUGAUUAAAAUAAUUUUAAUCAUAUAGAUUAGAUGUCUUACAUUUCAUACAACUUUAUAUCAUAUACAACAAACUUAGGGUUUCAAAAUCUAGGAUUUUACAGAAAAUUAAGUUCUUCCUUUCACAUUCUUCUUCAUGGGAUCUAAUCACAUGACACCCCUAC
Molecule: long non-coding RNA, 244 nt
Filed under: Elaeis guineensis (African oil palm)
Lineage: Eukaryota; Viridiplantae; Streptophyta; Magnoliopsida; Arecales; Arecaceae
Description: long non-coding RNA (EGUI_LNC032521)
Source: RNAcentral